GCAGGGGCAGGGGCGCUCUCGGGGCCGGAUCCCGGCUCUGCCUUGGGCUCAGGGCUGGGGCCCGGUCCGUGUCCAGCACUGUGAUCCCCUCCCCUCCCCAGCGCCUGCCGCGGAGAUGGCUGUGGCAUCCGCGAACAGGCGUCAGCUUGUGGGGCUCUGUGGUCUGGGAUCCCAGCCUCUGCCAAAGUCCUGCAUUCCCUGGGUGUGGGGACGCUGUGACCUGGGGACGAACCUCAGAGGGUCGGGACAAGGAAAGGAAGGCCCCGGCCCAACAUCGGGGUCUGGGCGCUGGUGGGACAGGGCAGGCUCAGCCUUGGGGCCGGUCAGGGCCCUGUUGGGGUUCGGGUCCCCCUGCCAGGUCCGCGUCUGCAGCCACAGCCCCUCAACCCCAGCAGGGACCCCAGAGACCGGCUCGGGACCCCCUGGUGGCCGUCUUGUGCCACUGCAGUUCUGCUGCUGAGAGGUUCCCGGGGUUCCCGGGGUUCCCGGGGUCCCUGGCCCGGCAGCCUCCUGGGCUCCCAGGCAGGCGCGCUCUGCCGUCCGCUCAUGCGGGGACAGCGGACCUCAGAGGCAAGCCUCAAAGACGCGCCCAGAUCAGGAUCCCAGGAACCCAGCUCACAUACAAAUCAGAAAAGCCCUAAAGAAGCAGAAACAAGAAUCAGUGAAACAAGAAACUAUAGAAUAAGAACCCAAACAAAAGCAAAAUGUCGGCGUUAUCAGACAUAGAAUAUGCAAUGUGUGCUUAAGAGGGUUUUUUUGUUUGUUUUGUUUUGAGAUGGAGUCUCGCUCUGUCGCCCAGGCUGGAGUACAGUGGUGCGAUCUCGGCUCACUGCAACCUCCGCCUCCCGAGUUCAAGCGAUUCUCCUGCCUCAGCCUCCUGAAUAGCUGGGACUACAGGUGCCCGCCACCACGCCCGACUAAUUUUUUUGGAUUUUUAGUAGACACGGGGUUUCACCGUGUUAGCCAGGAUGGUCUCGAUCUCCUGACCUCAUGAUCUUCCUGCCUCAGCCUCCCAAAGUGCUGGGAUUACAGCGUGGCCACCACGCUCGGCCAAGAGAUUUUUUAAACUUACUUACAGAAGCUAUUCAAAUAUUACUGCAAAAUGGGAAAUUACUGCACAUUGCAUUUUGAAAUGACCUGAGAGUUUUACGAAGAACUUCUAGAACUGAAAACCGUAAUAGAUGAGGCUAAAAUAAGAAUGGAUGGGACAGGCAGCGCAGAGGACACGCAGGAGCAG
Molecule: long non-coding RNA, 1237 nt
Filed under: Homo sapiens (human)
Lineage: Eukaryota; Metazoa; Chordata; Mammalia; Primates; Hominidae
Description: HSALNT0216880
Source: RNAcentral